AACGAACGCUGGCGGCAUGCCUAACACAUGCAAGUCGAACGAGACCUUCGGGUCUAGUGGCGCACGGGUGCGUAACGCGUGGGAAUCUGCCCUUGGGUUCGGAAUAACAGUUAGAAAUGACUGCUAAUACCGGAUGAUGUCUUCGGACCAAAGAUUUAUCGCCCAGGGAUGAGCCCGCGUAGGAUUAGCUAGUUGGUGGGGUAAAGGCCUACCAAGGCGACGAUCCUUAGCUGGUCUGAGAGGAUGAUCAGCCACACUGGGACUGAGACACGGCCCAGACUCCUACGGGAGGCAGCAGUGGGAAUAUUGGACAAUGGGCGAAAGCCUGAUCCAGCAAUGCCGCGUGAGUGAUGAAGGCCUUAGGGUUGUAAAGCUCUUUUACCCGGGAUGAUAAUGACAGUACCGGGAGAAUAAGCCCCCGGCUAACUCCGUGCCAGCAGCCGCGGUAAU
RNAcentral lists this ribosomal RNA (450 nucleotides) under uncultured bacterium. RNAcentral describes it as "bacterial SSU rRNA". It matches the Rfam family "Bacterial small subunit ribosomal RNA", at positions 29 to 524 of the family's 1533-position model. The record is from RNAcentral.